Molecule: unclassified non-coding RNA, 305 nt
Organism: Phascolarctos cinereus (koala)
Lineage: Eukaryota; Metazoa; Chordata; Mammalia; Diprotodontia; Phascolarctidae
Rfam family: Metazoan signal recognition particle RNA
About the family: The signal recognition particle (SRP) is a universally conserved ribonucleoprotein.
Source: Ensembl
GCUGGCUGUGACGGCACAUGCCUGUAAUCCUGCUCCUGGAGGAACUGAGGCUAGUGAAUCAUUUGGGGUCAGGAGUCAGAGCUGUAGCAGGACCAAAGCUGAUGGGUAUCCAUAUUAAGGCUGGCACCAGUAUGGUGAGCUCUUGCGGGGGGAGGUUGGGGACCACCAAGCUGCCUAAGGAGGAAUGAACCAGCUCAGGUUGGAAACAGAGCGGGUCAAAGUUUCAGUGCUGAUUAGCAAAGGGAUCAGGCCCAUGAAUGUCUGCUGCAUUUCCAGUGUAGGUGAGGUAGGGAGACCCAGUAUGU